AGAUUGGAUUGGGUUUUGGGCAGCCUGGGCUAGUGGGAGGUGUCCUUGCUCAUGGCAGAGGGGUUGAGAUUUGAUGAUCUUCAAGGUUCCUUUUAACCAAAACCAUUCUAUGACUAAUACAUGGCUAAAGCCAGGCUUCAGUAAGAACAUAUCGACCAUAAGAUACAUAGGGUGUUACAUUCAGUGGAUGAACAGCUAAAUCUUGCCACCAUAAGCUGUGUUUGAAGUCUUGUGAGAUCAUCCCUGAAACUCCAGAGCUCCAGAAAGUCUUAUGAGUAUUGAACUAUAUAGAACAAAAAGAUUUUAACUAGUGAAACUGAGCUCAUCUUCAGGUACCUUUCAGGGUCUGUCUUAAAGCUCAGAUUUGGAAUUGCAAUAUAGAGCAUGAGCUGCAUCCUGAUCUGUGUUAGAGGAUCCCCAAAUCCAUCUUCUUGUGCAGCACAGCCAUCCAUCCAAUGUGGGAGGUUGCAGCAGUCAUCUCUAUUUUUCAGCAGAUGGACUUGUUUUGCAAAGCAGAACAUUGGUGUUGCCCAAAUAAACUGUUAAAACGCAAUGAAUUCAGAAGCAGCUAUUCUACAGGAGCCUAAUGCAAGUUGUCUUAAAAAGUUGUCUUAAAAGCACCUGAUUUUAGGGAGUGGAAGCUCAUGGCUAGCACUUUGUGAAAAUGAGGAAGGGUUCACAGAGGGACUGCAGACCUUGGGCUGGGUUGAUUGCUUCAUUUCCAAAAGAUGACCGCUAAACAUCACAAGAGAUGAAAUGAAACUGAGAAGUCCAGCGAAAUGGGCUUGAAUUACUGCUCCUAUGAAAACCUGAAGAAAUCUUUUCAACCACUUUUCGACUUAUCAUGAGAUAUUUUGAAUCUUGUACUCAAUGAAAAUAUUUCCCUGAAAACUUGGAUUAUU
Long non-coding RNA from Cygnus olor (mute swan), 902 nucleotides. RefSeq lists it as uncharacterized. Lineage: Eukaryota; Metazoa; Chordata; Aves; Anseriformes; Anatidae. The transcript has 4 exons. The record is from RefSeq and is a predicted model, not a curated record.